GCCGGGAUAGCUCAGUCGGUAGAGCACUGCACUGAAAAUGCAGGUGUCCCCAGUUCGAGCCUGGGUCCUGGCA
RNAcentral lists this transfer RNA (73 nucleotides) under Anaerolineaceae bacterium. Its description in RNAcentral is "tRNA-Phe". It matches the Rfam family "tRNA". From Rfam's summary of the family: Transfer RNA (tRNA) molecules are approximately 80 nucleotides in length. Their secondary structure includes four short double-helical elements and three loops (D, anti-codon, and T loops). Lineage: Bacteria; Bacillati; Chloroflexota; Anaerolineae; Anaerolineales; Anaerolineaceae. RNAcentral also lists the same sequence under 9 other names. The record is from RNAcentral.